CUUUACUUUCUUUAUUUGCGCUAAGGUAUAAUAAUUUAUUCCAUGCUUACAGAGACUAUUGUGAAGAUUAAAUACGAUAAUAGAUGACAAACUUUCAACAUUCAAUGGAUGCUCCUCAUUGUGAUAUGUGCUGUAUCACACUCCUUUUCCAUCUUCGGAAAUAGACUGACCAAGACUCAGUUACAACGAUUUUUUAGAUCACAAUCAUUUGAAGUUUUUGCCCUUAUGGAAAUAAUCAAAAUUAUACAGUCAUAUAUGGAUUACAAUAGUCUGGACAGAAAUUGUAGCAACAGACAACACUUUGCAGGAUUGAGGUCAAGAUGGUGCGUAGGCAGACUCUGAACUCAUCUCCUCCCAUGGACAUAACAAAUUUAGAACCACUCUUGGAACAAUUGCUCCUGAAAGAGAACUGAAAACUGGAUAAAAAGAAUGCCCACAAGAAGGGACAGUGCCAACUGAGGUGGAAGAAGCAGAAAUUCCCCUCUGGAGAGAAAAAAGCCACCUUUCAACCACAGCACUUCAUGUUUGGGAGCAAUUCUAAAGAACGAAGGCAUCCCUGGAGGAACAGGGGAUCUGAGUGGGGGAGUGCUACUGCUAUAAGCCACUUAUAGACUCUGCACAACUGAGA
Molecule: long non-coding RNA, 628 nt
Filed under: Equus caballus (horse)
Lineage: Eukaryota; Metazoa; Chordata; Mammalia; Perissodactyla; Equidae
Description: lncRNA (ENSECAG00000058324.1)
Source: RNAcentral